UGGGAACCGUAGCCCUUUAGUGAGGAAUACCGGCGAGAAAUCGCCGACAAGACCGCAUGAGCUUCCCUGACGAGGGUCAGGGAAGGAAAGCUUCGCAAGAGGCGCUGGAGGAGGGGCCUGCGUCCGAUUAGCUGGUUGGUGGGGUAAGAGCCUACCAAGGCGUCGAUCGGUAGCUGGUCUGAGAGGACGAUCAGCCACACUGGGAUUGAGAACGGCCCAG
RNAcentral lists this ribosomal RNA (220 nucleotides) under uncultured bacterium. RNAcentral describes it as "partial 16S ribosomal RNA". It matches the Rfam family "Bacterial small subunit ribosomal RNA", at positions 118 to 334 of the family's 1533-position model. The record is from RNAcentral.